Molecule: ribosomal RNA, 253 nt
Filed under: uncultured bacterium
Lineage: Bacteria
Description: partial 16S ribosomal RNA
Rfam family: Bacterial small subunit ribosomal RNA
Source: RNAcentral
UACGUAGGUGGCAAGCGUUAUCCGGAAUUAUUGGGCGUAAAGAGCGCGCAGGUGGUUAAUUAAGUCUGAUGUGAAAGCCCACGGCUUAACCGUGGAGGGUCAUUGGAAACUGGUUGACUUGAGUGCAGAAGAGGGAAGUGGAAUUCCAUGUGUAGCGGUGAAAUGCGUAGAGAUAUGGAGGAACACCAGUGGCGAAGGCGGCUUCCUGGUCUGCAACUGACACUGAGGCACGAAAGCGUGGGGAGCAAACAGG